CCUACGGGUGGCAGCAGUCGAGAAUCAUUCACAAUGGGGGAAACCCUGAUGGUGCGACGCCGCGUGAGGGAAUGAAGGUCUUCGGAUUGUAAACCCCUGUCAUGUGGGAGCAAAUUAAAAAGAUAGUACCACAAGAGGAAGAGCCGGAUAACUCUGUGCCAGCAGCCGCGGGAAUACAGCGGUCUCAAGCGUUGGUCGGAGUCACUGGGCGUAAAGCGUGCGUAGGCUGUUUCGUAAGUCGAGUGUGAAAGGCGCGGGCUCAACCCGCGGACGGCACAUGAUACUGCGAGACUAGAGUAAUGGAGGGGGAACCGGAAUUCGCGGUGUAGCAGUGAAAUGCGUAGAUAUCGAGAAGAACACUCGUGGCGAAGGCGGGUUCCUGGACAUUAACUGACGCUGAGGCACGAAGGCCAGGGGAGCGAAAGGGAUUAGAUACCCCAGUAGUC
Molecule: ribosomal RNA, 446 nt
Filed under: uncultured bacterium
Lineage: Bacteria
Description: partial 16S ribosomal RNA
Rfam family: Bacterial small subunit ribosomal RNA
Source: RNAcentral